Molecule: long non-coding RNA, 1244 nt
Filed under: Capsicum annuum
Lineage: Eukaryota; Viridiplantae; Streptophyta; Magnoliopsida; Solanales; Solanaceae
Description: long non-coding RNA (CANN_LNC020374)
Source: RNAcentral
GGGGGUCUAUCGGAAACAGCCUUGCUACUUCUCCGGAGGUAGUGGUAUGGACUGUGUACAUCUUACCCUCCCCAAACCUCACUAUGUGGGAAUACACUGGGUUUGUUGUUGUUGUAGUCUACUUGGCACUUGGAGACUCCGAAUCCUGGAUCCGCCUCUGCAAUAGACCCUUGUGGUCUGGCCAUUCUCGAACCUCGUGCAUAGCUAGCGAGAGCUUUGGUGUAUCGGGCUGCCGUUUUUAGUUACUAAUAUCUUGCAAACUUACUGCAGGAUGAUUUGCUUCAACACAGGUUGCAUGGAAGAGACCAUAUGAUGCAGUUUGUGAAAAUGAAAAACAAGUUCAGUGUUGAAUUUGUGAAUGAUUUGCAAUUUGUAUUGUGUGAAUAUGUUAAUGUAAAAUGUAAUGUGUGGGAUUAUAAGUACAUCAAAUUUUAAAAAAAUUCAACAUUUUGCAAUAAGCACAGUCAAGGUUCUUGAAAUUUACUCAAUGCUACUGUUAAAGUUUGUGACCCGAAUUUUGUUGAUUCGCGCUGAAAAGUUCGUGGUGCGACCCACAUUUGUGAUUUUUUAUGGGGUCUGCGGUGGUAGCGGAGGGAUCGCACGUAAAUCUCUGUGUGUUCUUGUUUUUUUUUUCGCGUAUCAUAUUGCUUAUUGUUGUCCGUUCAUAAAAGCUUCUCUUCUGAUGUUACUUUUCCUUUUAUUAUCAAGCUUAUGAGUUUCUUAUCAUAUUUGUUACGUUUCAAGCACAUGGUACGUAUUGUUCGCUUUAUGUUAAGUUUAAAUAUAGUAGUAAGUAGUAACUUAAAAAAUAAAGGAAAAAUAAUCUGUUUUCAUUCUGAAUUAUACACGAAAUUGCUGACACAUACUCGAACUUUAGGAGGGUCCUAUUAUUUCCUGGAUUAAUUAAAAUCGUAUUUUUGGCAACCUUAGUGCUUACGUGGCAUAUCAGUGAAUCAACACAUUUAUGAUCCACGUAUGUGUUACGUAUCUGCCACAUAGGUACUAAGGUUGUCAAAAAUACGGUUUUAAUUAGUCCAUGGGUAAUAGGACCCUCCUAAAAUUCGGGUGUGCUUUAGUAAUUUCGUAUAUAGUUUAGGGUGGAAACAGUGCAUUUUCUCAAAAAUAAAACAAUAAUCUGACCCGUUAAAGGAUGAUAAUUUGUUUUUACAACAACAAACCCAGUGUAUUCCCACAAAGUGGGGUCUGGGGAGGGUAAAAUGUACGCAGUCCAUACCGAUACCUCC